CAUCUUUCACGCUUCCAAAGGAUACGUAAGACGCAGAAAUUAACAACUAUAGGACACCUUCAACAAUGAGUAAAACCCAUACUGCAUAGUCAGCUAUAUAAAGCCUCGAAAUGACAAACGUAAAACAAUUCAAACGAAAAAACUAACGACCUAAUUGAUGUACAAAAUAAUAAACGAAAAACAAAACUGUAACACAGCAACAA
This 203-nucleotide long non-coding RNA is filed under the name Mytilus galloprovincialis (Mediterranean mussel). The record is from RNAcentral. Lineage: Eukaryota; Metazoa; Mollusca; Bivalvia; Mytilida; Mytilidae.